This 288-nucleotide unclassified non-coding RNA is filed under the name Hevea brasiliensis (rubber tree). The record is from RNAcentral. Lineage: Eukaryota; Viridiplantae; Streptophyta; Magnoliopsida; Malpighiales; Euphorbiaceae.
AACCUGUUUUCUUCCUCGCAGAUAAUCAUAAAAAAGUUAGCGCACCAAAUACCACGACUUUGCUUGCAUAGGCUCAGGCCCACUUGCAGAGUGACUUAACAUUCACAGGGGCGAGACUCGAACCCGGGACCGCACGGACCGUCACGAGGCUCUGAUACCGCUUGAACUGAUAAGGAUAUCCUGCCCAUUUAGGGCACCAAAUACCUAUUAUCUUAGUCCGUAUUACGUUAACUGUUUAAUGAAUUAUGCUUUUCUGAUAAAAAAGAUUAUUUCAAUAUUAAAUUUUUA